Long non-coding RNA from Sapajus apella (tufted capuchin), 165 nucleotides. RefSeq lists it as uncharacterized. The record is from RefSeq and is a predicted model, not a curated record. The transcript is spliced from 4 exons. NCBI's taxonomy places the organism in Eukaryota, Metazoa, Chordata, Mammalia, Primates, Cebidae.
CUCUUGUGGGCAUUUAGUGCUAUAAAUUUCCCUCUCAACACUGCUUUAAAUGUGUUCCAGAGAUUCUUGCACAUUGUGUCUUUUUUCUCAUUAGUUUCAAAGAACAUCUUUAUUUCUGCUUCAAUUUCAUUAUUAACCCAGUAAUAUGCACCUAAUGCAGGAGAA